AUGUGUCGCCUACGUGGCGGAUCAUCCUCCAAGGAUGAUCCAUCACCAUACCAUGUAGUCUUAAGGAAUCAGACACUGGUCUAGCUGCACCUAGCCAAUGGGAUCUUGUUUCCGAUAAACAAAUGAUGCAAGAGGAGCAACCUAUUCAGGUGGCUAGAUGCACAAAGAUAAUUAACCCAAACACAGAAGACGCAAAAUACGUUAUCAGUGUCAAACAAAUUGCAAAGUUUGCUGUUGGGUUGGUGACAAAGUUUCACCAACUGAUAUCGAAAAAGGCAUGCGUGUUGGGUAGGUUGCAGUGUUCAUUAUUCGUUUUUAACUUUAACGAUUUUUCAAAGUAAUCAUUAUUCGUUUUGAGAGAUUAGUACAGAGAGAUAUUAAGGUAUGCAACAUUUAUAUCAAAUCCUUUUAAACCUUAUUAAGAAUGUUAAGUUUUGAUUAGUUGUACCAAUAUUGCAUGAUUUUAAUAUUUCUAAGUGCAUCAUGAUAGGUGACAUAAAGUCUCAUUACAUAAUUUUAUCAUAAUCUACCGAAGGUUUUGUCAGGUCGUGGGAGCAUGUUCAGUUUACAUUCUGCAUU
Helianthus annuus (common sunflower) is the source of this 579-nucleotide long non-coding RNA. RefSeq lists it as uncharacterized. Lineage: Eukaryota; Viridiplantae; Streptophyta; Magnoliopsida; Asterales; Asteraceae. The transcript has 4 exons. The record is from RefSeq and is a predicted model, not a curated record.